Molecule: ribosomal RNA, 254 nt
Filed under: uncultured bacterium
Lineage: Bacteria
Description: partial 16S ribosomal RNA
Rfam family: Bacterial small subunit ribosomal RNA
Source: RNAcentral
UACAGAGGGGGCAAGCGUUGUUCGGAAUUACUGGGCGUAAAGGGCGCGUAGGCGGCCUGUUAAGUCGAACGUGAAAUCCCCAAGCUUAACUUGGGAACUGCGUCCGAUACUGGCAGGCUUGAAUUCGGGAGAGGGAUGCGGAAUUCCAGGUGUAGCGGUGAAAUGCGUAGAUAUCUGGAGGAACACCGGUGGCGAAGGCGGCAUCCUGGACCAACACUGACGCUGAGUGAGCGAAAGCCAGGGGAGCAAACGGG